UUAUCUUCCCCCUCAAUGCACCCAAGCGCCAUGAAAUUGUUCCAGGCAGUGAUGGUGUUAUAAGGCUGUCGCUUGAGCAUUCUGGUAGUUCGUGUGUGUUUGUGGCAUUUUCUAAUUGAUGUUCUGAGACUGUACAUCUAACAUGGGGAUAGAGAAUGUGGAAAAAUGCGAGUUUGGGAAACUGCUCUAUGUGACUGGAGCCACGCAUCAGGUGUGCAGGAGCUCUUCGCCUGAUCCUUGACCUCCUUCUGUAGCUCAGUUGGUAGAGCAUGGCGCUUGUAACGCCAGGGUAGUGGGUUCAAUCCCCGGGACCACCCAUACGUAGAAUGUAUGCACACACGACUGUAAGUCGCUUUGGAUAAAAGCGUCUGCUAAAUGGCAUAUAUUUUUUAUUUUUUUAUUUAUCAACCAGUAAACUUGAGUUUACCCAUUGCGGUUUACCAUAGCAUUGGUGUAUGUUCAUUGUGAGGGUUAUUACCUUGAGAAUUCCUCUAUAGUACAUGUAGAGGAAUUCUACAUAGGUACAUAGGUCAUUAUCUGUUUUACUUUAACAGUGAGACAGAUGGUGUAUGGGUGUUAUAAUGGCAGGUUUGGUGACUGUGGAUCUGUUCUAGACAUACAUCUGCUGAUCUACCCCACACUGGGUCAUCAUUAAAAGUACAGUCUAUAGUGUUUACAGCAUUUUGGUAGAAAUGCAUCCCGUGUUCAAAUACAUCCUCAUUAAUGCAGCAGCCUUGAUUUGAAUAGUUGAAUAGGAUCAUUCAUAUAAUUUAUUCAUAUAUAUACUCCUUAAUUUUCAGUGUUUCUCAUGUUUCGGAGCAGAAGAAGCAGUGGAAAUGCUGAAUACCUUUUUAUAAACAGGAGAAGCCAAAUGCCCCCAAGACAAGGAAGGAGUGAGAUACUGUUGCUAUCCAGCAGGGGGCAAUAUUCGUUAAGUAAUGAGGUGAGGAGCAGAGAACGAACAUAAGGCAAAGGGAGUAGCUAACAAAGGGUUCUCCUGAAACAGACUUGGAACACAACCAUGGGUCCUAUGGAUUUGUUUGUCUGACAAAGAAAUCAAAUGUACUUUUUCAUCUUUUCACUUAUUCGCUCAGCCUUUUGCAUCAGCACUCAUUUUUAUUUUCAUAUUAUUGACAGUGUUUUAUACCCUUAGAGCAUAGUUUGAAUGGACAGUGGACACUAUCCAUGGCCUGUAAAGUCCCUUGCUGCUAUAACAGCCUCUACUCUUCUGGGAAGGCUAGAUGUUGGAACAUUUUUGUGGGGACUUCCAUUCAGACACAAGAGCAUUAGUGAGUUCGCCUACUGAUGUUGGGCGAUUAGGCCUGGCUCGCAAUCAGCGUUCCAAUUCAUCCCAAAGGUGUUCGAUGGUGGUGAGGUGAGGGCUCUGUGCAGGCCAGUCAAGUUCCUCCACGCCGAUUUCGACAAACCAUUUGUGUAUGGACCUCGCUUUGUGCACAGGGUCAUUGUUGUGCUGUUAACAGGACAGGACCUUCCCCAAACUGUUACCACAAAGUUGGAAGCACAGAAUCAUCUAGAAUGUCAUUGUAUUCUGUAGCGUUUAAGAUUUCCCUUCACUGGAACUAGGGCCUAGCCCCAGACCAUUAUUCCUCCUCCACCAAACUUUAUAGUUGGCACUAUGCAUUGGGGCACGACGUGUUCACCUGGCAUUCGCCAAACCCAGAUUCAUCCCUAUAUGCUGUCUUAUCAUUGUUGGUGAUCAGGCCUGCCACUGUUGUGUCAUUGGCAAAGGUAAUGAUGGUGUUGUGCCUGGCCGUGCAGUCAUGAGUGAACAGGGAGUGCAGGAGGGGACUAAGCACGCACCUCUGAGGGGCCUCCGUGUUGAGGAUCAGGGUGGCGGAUGUGUUGUUACCUACCCUUACCACCUGGGGGUGGCCCGUCAGGAAGUCCAGGAUCCAGUUGCAGAGGGAGGUGUUUAGUCCCAGGGUCCUUUGCUUAGUGAUGAGCUUUAAAAAAAAAUAUAUAUAUAUAUAUACUCUGAUUUUAUUGUAGGAACACAAAGAAAGUACAAUAAUGUAAAAUAAAAGAACAACAAAAAAGAUCUAGCAGUUACAGUGCACGUCAUAUCUUCAUCAUAUUAGUUACAUUGACAUCUUUGAAUUAGACCUUUUUCAAGUACGAAACCCAUUUUUCCCAGUAUUGACCUCUCUCCUGUUGAGUUCUUAAAGCAAAGGUCAUACGCUCCAUGGGGUAUAUUUAUUUUACAAUAUCUAUCCAUUGUGUCACUGUGGGAGGGUCUUUUUGUAGCCAUUUCCUAGUGAUAGCCUUUUUACUGGCUGCCAGUAGGACCUUCAAGAGGUACUUUUCUCUAUUGUGUAAGUCAUCAGGUAUUUCACCCAUGUACAAAGAAAUGAAUGUUUGUUCGAUGUCAAAUCCCAUUAUUUUUCCAAUGUUCGAUCUUAUUUCUCCCCAGUAAGUUUUGAUUUCUGAGCAGGACCAGAAGAUAUGAGAGUGAUCCACCCUUGAUAGCCCACAUUCUCUCCAAGAAGGGUGUAGUGAGCCAGUCUGUUUUGAUUUGAGUUUAGGUGUUAUGAAGAAACGUAUAACAUUCUUCCAACAGAACUCUCUCCAUGACCUUGAGUUGGUGGAGCUUUGUUGAGUCUCUAAUAUGUUCAACCAUGUUUCAUCAGUUAUUUCAAUGUUAAGUUCCUCCUCCCAUUGCUUUUUAAUAUAGUUUGUAGAAUGUUUCUUUGGUGAUUGAAUACCCAAGUGAGAUUUGUAAGUGUUUUUUUGUUACUCCCCAAGUUGUAUGUGUUAGUGAAUACUUGGAUUAAUUUGAGGUGCUCGAGGGUCAGUCACUUUUAUCUCCCCUAAGAAAUAGUGUUGGACUUGUAGGCAUCUGUAAAAAUCUUGUUUAUCCAAGCCAUGUUCUUUACUUAGGUCCUGGAAGUUAUCUAGGUCCCCAUUCCUUAUAAUUGUACUGAAUGAUGUGAUGCCUUUCUGCGUCCAUUGUUUAAAUCUGCUGUCCUGAGUUGCCGGGAUGAAGCUGAGGUCGUAUGCGGGCCAACUCAGCAGUUUGAUCUCUCUGUCUAAAUUAUUUUGCUUAACUACCCUAAAUCAUGUCUUCAGAGAGAAAUUUAUCCACUGAUUUUGUCUAUUGUAUAUUUCUAUUACCAUGUCCUUAUUACCCAUACAGUCAGUUUUGGGAAUCUCCGUCAAAGUAGUUUCAAUGUCUUUCCAUUUGGAUUCGUAUUAUGAAUUGCACAAACACACCAGAGGUCUCAAUUGGGCUGACACACAAUACUCUUUUAGGUUUGGUAAGCUCACACCCCCACAGUUUUUUGGUAAUUGUAAUGUUGUAUAUCUAGUUCUUGGUCUCUUACUGUUCCAGAUAAACCUUGAUAUCCGUUUAUCCCUAAACUGUUUAGGUGGGAUUUGUAUGGGCAGUGAUUGGAACAAAUACAGUAACCUUGGCAGGAUGUUCAUUUUGAUUGUUUCAAUUCUACUACUAAGAUCUAAGGGAAGUGAAUUCCACCUAUAGGUCAUCAUAUAUUUUCUUGUUGAUGUGAUUGUAAUUCAUGCAAUAAAGUUUGGGUGUAUCUUUGGUAGAUAUGCUCCAAUAUAUUUAAUGGUUAAAGAGGUCCAGUGGAAGUUAUACCUGCUCUUCCUGUGGGGUAUAAUUAUAUACUAGGUUUUGGGUCUUGUGUAUGUCAAGCACAUACCCUGAAUUAUGUUCCAAAUGUUUGUAAAACAUCCAUCAGUCUAGAGGUACACUUGAGCCUGGGUCUUUAAGGAAUAACAGAACAUCAUCAGCAUACAUGCAUGUCUUAUGUUCACUGCCUCUUAUUGUUAUUCCCUCUAAGGUUGGGUCAUGUCUUAUUGCCUGUGCUAAUGGUUCGAGGUACAAGGAGAAGAGCGUGGGUGAAAGAUUACAGCCUUGUCUUGCCCCUCGCUCUAAUUUUAUCGUUCGUGUCAAAUGUCCAUUUAUCUUUAUUCUAGCAGUUGGACAUGAAUACAGUGUUUUGAUGCACUGUAUCACUUCUUUGUUGAAACCAAAUCUUUCUUGGAAUAGGUAAUCCCAUCCCACUGAAUCAAAUGCCUUUUCUGCAUCGAGGCUGAUUAAUAAUGCACUUAUCUUAUUCUGAGUAAUGUGGUCCAUGACAUGUAGGGUUCUCCUUAUAUUGUCCUGUAUCUGCCUAUUUUGUAUGAAACCAGUUUGAUCUCCGUCAAUAAAUUCUGGGAGUAUGUUCUGUU
Molecule: long non-coding RNA, 4212 nt
Organism: Oncorhynchus keta (chum salmon)
Lineage: Eukaryota; Metazoa; Chordata; Actinopteri; Salmoniformes; Salmonidae
Exons: 3
Source: RefSeq, a predicted model, not a curated record